Long non-coding RNA from Panthera uncia (snow leopard), 645 nucleotides. RefSeq lists it as uncharacterized. The transcript has 4 exons. Lineage: Eukaryota; Metazoa; Chordata; Mammalia; Carnivora; Felidae. The record is from RefSeq and is a predicted model, not a curated record.
GAACUAAACCAGAAUGAGGAUGGAAGCAGGAAGUUCUCAUGUUCAGUUGCAUAUCUGACUGAGGGUUCUGAAAUGGAAACAAUAAAAAAUGAAUUGAGACUAACUUAUUGGGCCAAGAACAAGGUUACAUCUAGGAAGCUGGGCUUGAGAAUGAAAAUGAGAAGAAAAAAAGCAGAGACUUUGGUGAUUGAAGACUGUGAGCUUCAGAACAAGACCAUGUAACAGGUGCCCAAACUACAGUAAGGGAAAGAAGCUGGGAGGGGAACUGAGCAUCCACAGCUCUUCUCAAGCUCGCUGACAAGCACCUCAGACACUGGCACUGAAUCUGGCCCUUGCCUGCUCCUUCAGGCCCUGAUCCUAAAUUUCUGCAAAGUACCCUUACUCUGAGCACUGACUGAGCCUCUGCCACACCAGCGAACAUUUCCUUCUCAGCUGUCAGAAGCCCCAGUCCUGGUUUUUCUCCACCUGGUCACAAAUGUUAUAAUGAUAAGACCCUUAUGUUCGCUACAUUUGACUUUAUCUUGACUCUUAAAGUAUCCAUCAAGAAUUACUUUUUUUUUUUUUUUAAUGAGAAUGACCUGAUGCCUCAUCAUUCUUAAAGGUGAGUGGUUCCCUAGCCAAUGGGAACCAAGUAACGGUACGGAG